Molecule: ribosomal RNA, 202 nt
Filed under: uncultured bacterium
Lineage: Bacteria
Description: partial 16S ribosomal RNA
Rfam family: Bacterial small subunit ribosomal RNA
Source: RNAcentral
GUAGGCUGAAAUUACGCCUACAUGAAGCCGGAAUUGCUAGUAAUGGCAGGUCAGCAUACUGCCGUGAAUACGUUCCCGGGCCUUGUACACACCGCCCGUCACACCAUGAGAGCCGGGAACACCCGAAGUCCGUAGUCUAACCGCAAGGAGGACGCGGCCGAAGGUGGGUUUGGUAAUUGGGGUGAAGUCGUAACAAGGUAUC